CUUSRGRAAGAUCAUUGUCGAAACCUGCCCAGCAGAAAGACCCGCGAACAGGUUAUCAAAUUUUCUUCGGGGGCGAGGGGUGCGACGCGCCUUGAACCCCCCCACGCCGAGUGCGUGUGGCUUUGCCCCGCGUCCUCGGCCGCUAACCAACCACGGCGCGGAAUGCGUCAAGGAAACAUAAAGAAACGAGCCUCYGCUGCGGCCCCAGAUUUGGUGCUUGCCGCGGCGGAUGUGUCGUGUUUCGUUUAGGUCUAAAAACGACUCUCGGCAACGGAUAUCUCGKCUCUCGCAACAUUGAAAACGAGCGRAUGCGAUACUUGGUGUGAAUUGCAGAAUCCCGUGAACCAUCGAGUCUUUGAACGCAAGUUGCGCCCGAAGCCAUCCGGCCGAGGGCACGCCUGCCUGGGCGUCACACAUCGUUGCCCCCCAAAUCCCUCCGACACUAUCCACAUGGUGCGGGGGGACUGCGAGGGGCGGAUGAUGGCCUCCCGUGGGCCUCGACUCGCGGUUGGUCUAAACAUGGGUCCUCGGUCACGGUUGCCGUGGCAACAGGUGGUCGUCGAUGAUUCGGUGCCCUGCCACGUGCUCUGGACAAAAGCACCGAGGGACUUUACAAACUUGACCCCGACGCACCCCGCUUCGGUGCAUCCAACGCGACCCCAGGUCAGGCG
RNAcentral lists this ribosomal RNA (671 nucleotides) under Artocarpus blancoi. RNAcentral's name for it is "eukaryotic LSU rRNA". The stretch from base 260 to 412 matches the Rfam family "5.8S ribosomal RNA". The record is from RNAcentral. Lineage: Eukaryota; Viridiplantae; Streptophyta; Magnoliopsida; Rosales; Moraceae.